UGGGGAAUAUUGCACAAUGGGCGGAAGCCUGAUGCAGCAACGCCGCGUGAGUGAAGAAGGUUUUCGGAUUGUAAAGCUCUGUCAUAUGGGACGAUAGUGACGGUACCAUAUGAGGAAGCCACGGCUAACUACGUGCCAGCAGCCGCGGUAAUACGUAGGUGGCAAGCGUUGUCCGGAAUUACUGGGCGUAAAGGGUGCGCAGGCGGACAUUUAAGUGAGAUGUGAAAGACCCGGGCUUAACUUGGGCAGGGCAUUUCAAACUGGGUGUCUUGAGUGCAGGAGAGGAGAACGGAAUUCCUAGUGUAGCGGUGAAAUGCGUAGAGAUUAGGAAGAACACCAGUGGCGAAGGCGGUUCUCUGGACUGUAACUGACGCUGAGGCACGAAAGCGUGGGUAGCAAACAGG
This 404-nucleotide ribosomal RNA is filed under the name uncultured Clostridium sp. Its description in RNAcentral is "bacterial SSU rRNA". It matches the Rfam family "Bacterial small subunit ribosomal RNA", at positions 355 to 776 of the family's 1533-position model. The record is from RNAcentral. Lineage: Bacteria; Bacillati; Bacillota; Clostridia; Eubacteriales; Clostridiaceae.